This is a long non-coding RNA of Gossypium arboreum, 408 nucleotides long. RefSeq lists it as uncharacterized. The record is from RefSeq and is a predicted model, not a curated record. The transcript is spliced from 3 exons. NCBI's taxonomy places the organism in Eukaryota, Viridiplantae, Streptophyta, Magnoliopsida, Malvales, Malvaceae.
AAAGCCAUUAUUUUUGUUCAUAAUAUGUUCUGGCCGAAACAAGAGAAAAGAAAAAGAAACCUAGGUUCGGCCAACUUCCAAGCUUGAUUCAAGAUCAAGAACCAAAGAAAUCGGAUUUGGAUCGGGGAAUAACGAAAGUUGUCGACUAGUCAUCCCAUUCCAUUUUACAUCGUCCGAGAUUUUGGAUUCAGGUUUCGAGCUCGGGAAUCGUCAGAGAAGCUUAUCACACUAUCGACUGUCUUCGGUAUUUUAUAAGCUAAAUUUUCGAACCUAUGGCAUGUAUAGGCUAGAUUGUAAUUUGAAAUGUUGAAUUUUGGUUUUGUAUAAUUUAAGCCAUGCGAAAAUGGCCUAACUUCAACGCUUUAUUACGGUUUUGUUUGAUUAUGGCUUAAGUUCAUUUGGGUAUUA